RNAcentral lists this RNase P RNA (329 nucleotides) under Burkholderiaceae bacterium. RNAcentral describes it as "RNase P RNA component class A". It matches the Rfam family "Bacterial RNase P class A". From Rfam's summary of the family: Ribonuclease P (RNase P) is a ubiquitous endoribonuclease, found in archaea, bacteria and eukarya as well as chloroplasts and mitochondria. The record is from RNAcentral. Lineage: Bacteria; Pseudomonadati; Pseudomonadota; Betaproteobacteria; Burkholderiales; Burkholderiaceae.
GAAGCAGGCCGGGCAGCCGCUGCCGGGCGCAAGCCCGGGAGAGGAAGGUCCGGACUCCAUAGAGCAGGGUGACGGCUAACGGCCGUGCGCUGAAACCCGCAAGGGAUAAGGCGACGAACAGGGCCACAGAGACGAGCCAGUUCAGUCUGGGGUGAAACGCGGUAACCUCCACCCGGAGCAACACCAAAUAGGCACGCAAUGACGCGGCUCGCGGAGCGUGCGGGUAGGUGGCUUGAGCGGCGCAGCAAUGCGCCGCCUAGAGGAAUGGCUGCCAUAGAACAAGGCGACUUGUUCCGUAACAGAAUCCGGCCUACAGGCCUGCUUUCAAC